AUGGAGAAGGUGAAUAACCUGCUGCAGGGCCUGAAGCUGUCGGAGGCGGAGAAGAAAGGAGUGAAGAUCGGUGGGAGGGGAUCUGGGAAGAUUGGAAUGGAACCAAGAGCCAUGGCUAAAUUGUUCUCUGAGAAGCCGGCACAUGCAGAUGCGCUGGCCCAGGCGCUAGGGAAGGCAUGGAGUCCGAUGAGAGGGGUAAGUUGCAAGGAUUUGAGAGGGAACAUCUUCCUGUUUACUUUUAAACAGGAAUCAGAGAAAAGAAAGGCGUUGGAAGGGGGCCCCUGGACGUUUGAUAAAGAUUUGCUGCUACUAGAAGAGUUUGAUCCGUCUAAAAGGAUUGAGGACUAUGAAUUUCGGCAUGUGCAAAUGUGGGUGCGGGUGUUUAAUCUGCCUCUUGGGGACAUGCAUAGGGACAAUGGAGAGGUG
RNAcentral lists this ribosomal RNA (426 nucleotides) under Triticum aestivum (bread wheat). RNAcentral's name for it is "partial small subunit ribosomal RNA". The record is from RNAcentral. Lineage: Eukaryota; Viridiplantae; Streptophyta; Magnoliopsida; Poales; Poaceae.